This 429-nucleotide ribosomal RNA is filed under the name uncultured archaeon. Its description in RNAcentral is "bacterial SSU rRNA". It matches the Rfam family "Archaeal small subunit ribosomal RNA", at positions 474 to 903 of the family's 1478-position model. The record is from RNAcentral.
UACCUGCAGCUCGAGUGGUAACCGCUAUUAUUGGGCCUAAAGCGUCCGUAGCCGGUUUGGUAAAUAUCUGGGUAAAUCGUGAGGCUUAACUUCACGAAUUUCGGAUAGACUGCCAGACUUGGGAUCGGGGGAGGUCAGAGGUACUCCAGGGGUAGCGGUGAAAUGUUGUAAUCCUUGGAGGACCACCGGUAGCGAAGGCGUCUGACUAGAACGAGUCCGACGGUGAGGGACGAAGCCCUGGGGCGCAAACCGGAUUAGAUACCCGGGUAGUCCAGGGUGUAAACGAUGUGGGCUUUGUAUUGGAGGUCCCACGUGGGCGUCCAGUGCAGAAGAGAAGUUGUUAAGCCCGCCGCCUGGGGAGUACGGCCGCAAGGCUGAAACUUAAAGGAAUUGGCGGGGGAGCACCACAAGGCGUGAAGCUUGCGGUUC